RNAcentral lists this unclassified non-coding RNA (664 nucleotides) under Hevea brasiliensis (rubber tree). Lineage: Eukaryota; Viridiplantae; Streptophyta; Magnoliopsida; Malpighiales; Euphorbiaceae. The record is from RNAcentral.
AUUACUGUGCAGGGUGGGUUAUGGGGUUUCGGAGUGGGUAUAAGGUCUUCCCCUCCCCAUCCCACACAAAUCGGGGUCGGGGCGGAGUCGGGGAAAAUUUAUCGCUUUUGCCAUCCCUAUUUGGUGGCAAUGACAGGAAAGCAGCAGUAAUGUUGUGGUGGCAAAUACCAAGUAGUUAGUGACUUUACAAUACUGAGGAUGCUAGAGGUGAUAAGAAGUUGGUUUGAACUGAUAGGUUGAAUUGCUGUUGCAGUGACUGGAAAACAGGUUGGUGCAGGUGGUGCUUGGUUCUUAAGGUGGGAGCAGGAAGGCCAAGCUCAAGCACAUGGGGGCAAUUGAUAACUGAUUGGUGGCUGGAGUCCCAUUACCAUUAUUAGAAGGUAUGAUAGUGCCAACAAGUCAGAUAAUAGCUUGCUAGUGAUGAUAACAUUAAUUAUUUUUAAAAAGAUGGAUUUCAAGUCUAUUUAUGUUGAAAAAGGGGAGAGGGAGAGAGAGAGAAUGAACAGGAGAAAAAAGAAAUAGGGGUAAAUUUCAAUAACUAUCCCUGAACUUAUAUGGUUGUAACACUACAGUCCUUAAACUUUAAAACGUAAUAUAAAACCUCAUAAACUUUAAAAUUUUGCACAUUAAAAUCCCUCUAACUUUCAAUUACUGAUUUUUCAGU